AGAGAUGUGUGAUGACGCAUAUCAAUAAGCGGAGGAAAAGAAACUAACAAGGAUUCCCUUAGUAACGGCGAGUGAAGCGGGAAGAGCUCAAAUUUGAAAUCUUCAAGGUUCUACCUUGACGAAUUGUAGUUUAUAGAAGUGUUUUCUGUUAGUAGAGUGGCAAAAGUUCUUUGGAAUAGGACAUCAUAGAGGGUGAGAAUCCCGUAUUUGGUCAUUCUUUCUAGCUUUGUGAUACACUUUCAACGAGUCGGAUUGUUUGGGAAUGCAGUCCAAAAUGGGUGGUAAAUUUCAUCUAAAGCUAAAUAUUGGCGAGAGACCGAUAGCGAACAAGUACCGUGAGGGAAAGAUGAAAAGAACUUUGAAAAGAGAGUUAAACAGUACGUGAAAUUGUCAAAAGGGAAGCGUUUGACACCAGUGUUGUUUUUCCGAAAAUCAAUUACGAAUGUUUUGUUUUUAAGAAGUUAUGACUUCAUCGGCUUGCUUCUUUCUUUACGAAACUUUCUUAAUGCACUUUUCGGUUAACAAGUCAACAUCAAUUUCUUUUGUUGUAAAAGGGUACGAGGAAGGUGGCUUUCUUUUCGGAGAAAGUGUUUAUAGCCUUGUGACCUCUGCAAUCGGAGAGAUUGAGGUCUGCAGCGUAGAUCCUUCGGGGUUAGAUACAUUUGUGCUAAGUUAUAGCUUUUCAUAGACAACUUGUUGACUAUGUUAGUCUUGUAGCUUACUCGCUUAUGCUAUUUUACCUACGCUUAGGAUGUUGAAGAUGUAGCACAUCAUC
RNAcentral lists this ribosomal RNA (775 nucleotides) under uncultured Neocallimastigales. RNAcentral describes it as "partial large subunit ribosomal RNA". It matches the Rfam family "Eukaryotic large subunit ribosomal RNA", at positions 23 to 644 of the family's 3401-position model. The record is from RNAcentral. Lineage: Eukaryota; Fungi; Neocallimastigomycota; Neocallimastigomycetes; Neocallimastigales.